GAUGAACGCUGGCGGCGUGCCUAAUACAUGCAAGUCGAGCGAACAGACGAGGAGCUUGCUCCUCUGACGUUAGCGGCGGACGGGUGAGUAACACGUGGAUAACCUACCUAUAAGACUGGGAUAACUUCGGGAAACCGGAGCUAAUACCGGAUAAUAUAUUGAGCCGCAUGGUUCAAUAGUGAAAGACGGUUUUGCUGUCACUUAUAGAUGGAUCCGCGCCGCAUUAGCUAGUUGGUAAGGUAACGGCUUACCAAGGCAACGAUGCGUAGCCGACCUGAGAGGGUGAUCGGCCACACUGGAACUGAGACACGGUCCAGACUCCUACGGGAGGCAGCAGUAGGGAAUCUUCCGCAAUGGGCGAAAGCCUGACGGAGCAACGCCGCGUGAGUGAUGAAGGUCUACGGAUCGUAAAACUCUGUUAUUAGGGAAGAACAAAUGUGUAAGUAACUAUGCACGUCUUGACGGUACCUAAUCAGAAAGCCACGGCUAACUACGUG
RNAcentral lists this ribosomal RNA (497 nucleotides) under uncultured bacterium. RNAcentral describes it as "partial 16S ribosomal RNA". It matches the Rfam family "Bacterial small subunit ribosomal RNA", at positions 28 to 507 of the family's 1533-position model. The record is from RNAcentral.